GACGAACGCUGGCGGCGUGCUUAACACAUGCAAGUCGAACGGAAAGGCCCCCUUGUGGGGUACUCGAGUGGCGAACGGGUGAGUAACACGUGAGUAACCUACCCUUGACUUUGGGAUAACUUCAGGAAACUGGGGCUAAUACCGGAUAGGAGCUCCUGCUGCAUGGUGGGGGUUGGAAAGUUUCGGCGGUUGGGGAUGGACUCGCGGCUUAUCAGCUUGUUGGUGGGGUAGUGGCUCACCAAGGCUUUGACGGGUAGCCGGCCUGAGAGGGUGACCGGCCACAUUGGGACUGAGAUAGGGCCCAGACUCCUACGGGAGGCAGCAGUGGGGAAUAUUGCACAAUGGGCGGAAGCCUGAUGCAGCAACGCCGCGUGCGGGAUGACGGCCUCGGUGUAACGACUUCGUCCUCGUGACGAAGCGUGAGUGACGGUAA
This 433-nucleotide ribosomal RNA is filed under the name uncultured bacterium. Its description in RNAcentral is "bacterial SSU rRNA". It matches the Rfam family "Bacterial small subunit ribosomal RNA", at positions 28 to 478 of the family's 1533-position model. The record is from RNAcentral.